Molecule: unclassified non-coding RNA, 213 nt
Filed under: Hevea brasiliensis (rubber tree)
Lineage: Eukaryota; Viridiplantae; Streptophyta; Magnoliopsida; Malpighiales; Euphorbiaceae
Source: RNAcentral
GAAAUGUUAUAAAAAUGUUGAUGGGACAAAAUACUUGUCAAUAUGUGUGGCAAUCGGUAUGAUAUGUAUGACUUUGUUUUGCAUGAAAAAUAUAACCUUGUUCCUCUUCAUGUAAAGCUGAAUCUAGAAUGAAACAUGUGCAUUUAAUCAGUACAUAAUUUAAUAUAAUGAUAAUGACAUUACACAGACGUUUCUAAGAGUCUGGUAAUUAGU